ACGUAGGGGACAAGCGUUAUUCGGAAUUACUGGGCGUAAAGGGCAUGUAGGCGGCUUUGUAAGCCUGGCGUGAAAGUCACCGGCUCAACCGGUGGAUUGCGUUAGGAACUGCAGAGCUUGAGUCAUGGAGAGGAAGGUAGAAUUCCUGGUGUAGGGGUGAAAUCUGUAGAGAUCAGGAAGAAUACCAGUGGCGAAGGCGACCUUCUGGCCAAUGACUGACGCUGAGGUGCGAAAGUGUGGGGAUCAAACAGGAUUAGAUACCCUGGUAGUCCACACUGUAAACGAUGUGCACUAGGUGCUGGGGCGGAUGCUUCAGUGCCGGAGCUAACGCGGUAAGUGCACCGCCUGGGGAGUAUGCUCGCAAGGGUG
Molecule: ribosomal RNA, 369 nt
Filed under: uncultured bacterium
Lineage: Bacteria
Description: bacterial SSU rRNA
Rfam family: Bacterial small subunit ribosomal RNA
Source: RNAcentral